CUGAGUGAGGGCCCUCUGGGUCCAACCUCCCACCCGUGUUUAUUGUACCUUGUUGCUUCGGCGGGCCCGCCCUUGUGGCCGCCGGGGGGCAUCUGCCCCCGGGCCCGCGCCCGCCGAAGACACCAUUGAACUCUGUCUGAAGAUUGCAGUCUGAGCAUAAACUAAAUAAGUUA
RNAcentral lists this unclassified non-coding RNA (173 nucleotides) under uncultured fungus. Its description in RNAcentral is "sequence contains ITS1, 5.8S rRNA gene". Lineage: Eukaryota; Fungi. The record is from RNAcentral.